GACGAACGCUGGCGGCGUGCUUAACACAUGCAAGUCGAACGAAGAGCGAUGGAAGCUUGCUUCUAUCACUCUUAGUGGCGAACGGGUGAGUAACGCGUAAUCAACCUGCCCUUCAGAGGGGGACAACAGUUGGAAACGACUGCUAAUACCGCAUACGAUCUAAUCUCGGCAUCGAGGAUAGAUGAAAGGUGGCCUCUACAUGUAAGCUAUCACUGAAGGAGGGGAUUGCGUCUGAUUAGCUAGUUGGAGGGGUAACGGCCCACCAAGGCGAUGAUCAGUAGCCGGUCUGAGAGGAUGAACGGCCACAUUGGGACUGAGACACGGCCCAGACUCCUACGGGAGGCAGCAGUGGGGAAUCUUCCGCAAUGGACGAAAGUCUGACGGAGCAACGCCGCGUGAGUGAUGACGGCCUUCGGGUUGUAAAGCUCUGUUAAUCGGGACGAAAGGCCUUCUUGCGAAUAGUGAGAAGGAUUGACGGCACCGGAAUAGAAAGCCACGGCUAACUACGU
This 509-nucleotide ribosomal RNA is filed under the name uncultured bacterium. RNAcentral describes it as "partial 16S ribosomal RNA". It matches the Rfam family "Bacterial small subunit ribosomal RNA", at positions 28 to 506 of the family's 1533-position model. The record is from RNAcentral.